UUAUGAUUGGUUUGCUUCUGUCAAAAAGAUGGUUAAGCGUUUGAUGAAAUUGCUUCUGCCAAAUGGUGGUUAAGCAUCAGUAUUACUUCACGUUUAGAUUUCAAGACUGGGAGAUGAAGAUUCUCUCACCAGCAAGAGGAGGUAUUAGAAUAUGUGUGGUGUUCAUCACAAUUAUAUCAAGUUUGGAUUGCUUGACACAUUCCAGCUAGAGGGGGG
RNAcentral lists this long non-coding RNA (216 nucleotides) under Lupinus angustifolius (narrow-leaved blue lupine). Its description in RNAcentral is "long non-coding RNA (LANG_LNC001965)". The record is from RNAcentral. Lineage: Eukaryota; Viridiplantae; Streptophyta; Magnoliopsida; Fabales; Fabaceae.